UUGAUUUUCAUUCGAAAAUUUAUGUUCAGACUAAAUUUAGAAUUACAAGUUUUGAUUUUGGCGCUGCCGGCAGGCUAACAGACAACAGGACAGAUGCCCUGCAGCAAGCUACCGAAGCUAAUAAAGGUUUUGGUUCACAAAGGGUUUAACCAUUGCACGAGGCAACAGAAUUGUUAUCAUAAUGAUCCUUCCGCAGGUUCACCUACGGAAA
RNAcentral lists this unclassified non-coding RNA (211 nucleotides) under uncultured fungus. RNAcentral describes it as "sequence contains ITS1". The record is from RNAcentral. Lineage: Eukaryota; Fungi.